Molecule: ribosomal RNA, 439 nt
Filed under: uncultured bacterium
Lineage: Bacteria
Description: partial 16S ribosomal RNA
Rfam family: Bacterial small subunit ribosomal RNA
Source: RNAcentral
CUACGGGUGGCUCCAGUGGGGAAUAUUGGACAAUGGGCGAAAGCCUGAUCCAGCAAUGCCGCGUGAGUGAUGAAGGCCUUAGGGUUGUAAAGCUCUUUUACCCGGGAUGAUAAUGACAGUACCGGGAGAAUAAGCUCCGGCUAACUCCGUGCCAGCAGCCGCGGUAAUACGGAGGGAGCUAGCGUUGUUCGGAAUUACUGGGCGUAAAGCGCACGUAGGCGGCUUUGUAAGUUAGAGGUGAAAGCCUGGAGCUCAACUCCAGAAUUGCCUUUAAGACUGCAUCGCUCGAAUCCAGGAGAGGUCAGUGGAAUUCCGAGUGUAGAGGUGAAAUUCGUAGAUAUUCGGAAGAACACCAGUGGCGAAGGCGGCUGACUGGACUGGUAUUGACGCUGAGGUGCGAAAGCGUGGGGAGCAAACAGGAUUAGAUACCCGAGUAGUC